GUCCACGCCCUAAACGAUGUCAACUGGUUGUUGGACGGCUUGCUGUUCAGUAACGAAGCUAACGCGUGAAGUUGACCGCCUGGGGAGUACGGCCGCAAUGUUGAAACUCAAAGGAAUUGACGGGGACCCCGCACAAGCGGUGGAUGAUGUGGUUUAAUUCGAUGCAACGCGAAAACCUUACCUACCCUUGACAUGUCUAGAAGUUUCCAGAGAUGGAUUCGUGCUCGAAAGAGGGCUAGAACACAGGUGCUGCAUGGCCGUCGU
RNAcentral lists this ribosomal RNA (264 nucleotides) under uncultured bacterium. Its description in RNAcentral is "partial 16S ribosomal RNA". It matches the Rfam family "Bacterial small subunit ribosomal RNA", at positions 793 to 1055 of the family's 1533-position model. The record is from RNAcentral.